RNAcentral lists this ribosomal RNA (646 nucleotides) under uncultured bacterium. Its description in RNAcentral is "bacterial SSU rRNA". It matches the Rfam family "Bacterial small subunit ribosomal RNA", at positions 54 to 749 of the family's 1533-position model. The record is from RNAcentral.
CAUGCAAGUCGACGCACCGCAAGGUGAGUGGCAGACGGGUGAGUAACACGUGGGAACCUACCCUUUGGUACGGAACAUACCAGGGAAACCUGGGAUAAUACCGUAUAAGCCCUUCGGGGGAAAGAUUUAUCGCCAUUGGAUGGGCCCGCGUCGGAUUAGCUAGUUGGUGAGGUAACGGCUCACCAAGGCGACGAUCCGUAGCUGGUCUGAGAGGACGAUCAGCCACACUGGGACUGAGACACGGCCCAGACUCCUACGGGAGGCAGCAGUGGGGAAUAUUGGUCAAUGGGCGAAAGCCUGAACCAGCCAUGCCGCGUGAGUGAUGAAGGCCUUAGGGUUGUAAAGCUCUUUCGGCGGGGAAGAUAAUGACGGUACCCGCAGAAGAAGCCCCGGCUAACUCCGUGCCAGCAGCCGCGGUAAUACGGAGGGGGCUAGCGUUGUUCGGAAUUACUGGGCGUAAAGCGCACGUAGGCGGACAGGGAAGUUGGGGGUGAAAUCCCGGGGCUCAACUCCGGGGCCGCCCCCGAAACUGCAGGUCUAGGGACCGGUAGAGGCCGGUGGAAUUCCCGGUGUAGCGGUGGAAUGCGUAGAGAUCGGGAAGAACACCCGUGGCGAAGGCGGCCGGCUGGGCCGGAUCCGACGCUGA